UACGGAGGGUGCAAGCAUUAAUCGGAUUUAUUGGGCGUAAAGGGCGCGUAGGCGGAGAUAUAAGUCAGAUGUGAAAUCCCGGGGCUCAACCCCGGAACGGCAUUUGAAACUGUAUCCCUUGAGGGUAGGCGGAGAAAACGGAAUUCCACAAGUAGCGGUGAAAUGCGUAGAUAUGUGGAGGAACACCAGUGGCGAAGGCGGUUUUCUAGCUUACUCCUGACGCUAAAGCGCGAAAGCAAGGGGAUCAAACAGG
Molecule: ribosomal RNA, 253 nt
Filed under: uncultured bacterium
Lineage: Bacteria
Description: partial 16S ribosomal RNA
Rfam family: Bacterial small subunit ribosomal RNA
Source: RNAcentral